Molecule: long non-coding RNA, 756 nt
Organism: Drosophila gunungcola (fruit fly)
Lineage: Eukaryota; Metazoa; Arthropoda; Insecta; Diptera; Drosophilidae
Exons: 3
Source: RefSeq, a predicted model, not a curated record
CCCAGAAAUACCUUAAAUAUGUUUGUGUAUGUCCAGCCAUUUAAAGUUCAGGGGUUAAUCAGUGGGCCAUGGGUUAAUUCAGAUUGGGUGUUAACAUCCUUGAAGUCCUGCGUCUCGGGUUUUAUUCAUCCGCCGGCUGGUUAUUGUUGCACAUGGUAGUGUUCAUGGGUGCCAGCCCCUGUACCGCCCACGGCCCUCCGCCCACAUUAACCCUUUAGCAGCAGCAUCCUGAUACGCCCCGAGACCCCCGCUUAACCCCUUAACGCCGGAGUGCGUGACUCAAUGCCUGAUUGUAGUCUGAUGCAGAUUGGCUCCGGCUGCCUCCCUCCACCCACACACGGCCGCCUGCCACGCCCACUCGACCUCAGUGGUGCCAAUUAUGGAUGACAAAAGAUAAACAAUGCGGGGCCAUAAAAGCCAGGUAUUUGAGUCCAAUGCCCAUCAUUCAACUCCAAGAUGCGUCUCUUUCUGUUGUUAUUUUUGGCCCUCAGCUGCUGCCUGAUGCAACCGAGCAUGGCAGAAGUGGGUUUGGUUCGUGGACUGGAGACUGCCACUCAUCAUCACAACUCCACUGGAGAACAAUUCAGAGCUCCUCCACCACCACCUAGCUCUACAGCAGCCGGAUCGACAGGUUAGAUGGUUCCAACACUAUGGAAAGGAACAUCUUUUGACCGCAGCCGAGUGCAAAAAAAUAUAUCACGUUAUUCACUUGAAGUGUUACUCAAUUUGUACUACAAAUAAAGGUCUAGCAAACAG